CCUGGAGACCAUACUCAACUGAGAGAGGCAAAAAAAUACCCCUGGCCCACACCCUCCCUGUCCCCCCCACCCCCGACAUGCUCCCCCCCACUCCCUGACUCCCCGUUCCAACCGACGAUAAACCUACUGGUGACGCAGAAUCACGCUUUUCUUGGGUCAUGCCGAACACAUGUCAGCGGGCAGCUGAGCAAGACGGAAGCAGGGACGUUCAGCAAUACAGCAAAGGAGAAACUGAGGCACGGCUCUUUCGACUUCAGGCCCCAGGUGGCCAACUCACACGCCCACACCGUGGGGCUAAUUUUUCUUUUCCUCCUGACUUACAACUGAACUCCAUGAUGAAAAAUUAAAAGUAGCACAACUUAGAGAAAUUGUCCAUUUGAGCACAUACACCAUUUACCAUGCGCUGUUUCCGGUGAAAGAGCCAGGUUGGGGUGGGGGGAGCAUGAGGGUGGACACAAGAGAAGAGCGUACUUGAGAAGAGGAGUUCUCUGGGAAGAAUGCUGUGUGCAUAAGUGUCUUCUAAUCUCAAGAAAUAGUGACAUGGACACACAAUUUUGCCAAGCGUGAGACAGUAACUGGACCCCUACCAUUCUAUUUGUAGUACUUUUCAUAUCGUCAAUGUUGGAAGCAAACACACACACACACACACACACACACACUCAAACUCACAAAAAGUCAAUAGACCCUGAACCCACUGGCAGUGAUGAGAAAGAAAGAGCAUUUUAGAGAAGUCCUGUAAAGACCAUGACCAUGUACAUGGCAAGGAUAGUAGGCUUCUGCAGCGGGCAGAGGGUCCAGAGAGUAUUAAAUAACUUUAAAGAACAAGAAGAAGAAGAAGAGAAACAAAGACAAGCCCACUACAAAACAGACAAAAACAGCAAAUUCAUUUUUGCCCAGAAUCCUUGGGACUUAGGAAACAAUGACAUCAGAACAAAAACAUACUCCACAGCUGGAAAGUCGACAAGAGUGACCUCCGGACCUGAAAAGUGUUGCACCAUAUUACAUUUGCUGGUCAUCUGA
This 1020-nucleotide long non-coding RNA is filed under the name Canis lupus familiaris (dog). RNAcentral's name for it is "lncRNA (ENSCAFG00845011552.1)". Lineage: Eukaryota; Metazoa; Chordata; Mammalia; Carnivora; Canidae. The record is from RNAcentral.